UACGUAGGGGGCAAGCGUUGUCCGGAUUUAUUGGGCGUAAAGAGCGUGUAGGCGGUUUGGUAGGUCCGCUGUGAAAACUCGAGGCUCAACCUCGAGACGCCGGUGGAAACCAUCAAGCUAGAGUCCGGAAGAGGAGAGUGGAAUUCCUGGUGUAGCGGUGAAAUGCGCAGAUAUCAGGAAGAACACCCGUGGCUAAGGCGGCUCUCUAGUACGGUACUGACGCUGAGACGCGAAAGCGUGGGGAGCGAACAGG
RNAcentral lists this ribosomal RNA (253 nucleotides) under uncultured bacterium. RNAcentral's name for it is "partial 16S ribosomal RNA". It matches the Rfam family "Bacterial small subunit ribosomal RNA", at positions 524 to 776 of the family's 1533-position model. The record is from RNAcentral.